UACGGGGGGGGCAAGCGUUGUUCGGAAUUACUGGGCGUAAAGGGCUCGUCGGCGGCCAACUAAGUCAGACGUGAAAUCCCUCGGCUUAACCGGGGAACUGCAUCUGAUACUGGAUGGCUUGAGUUCGGGAGAGGGAUGCGGAAUUCCAGGUGUAGCGGUGAAAUGCGUAGAUAUCAAGCGGAACACCGGUGGCGAAGGCGAGUCCCUGGACAACACCUGACACUGAGGCACGAAAGCUAGGGGAGCAAACAGG
Molecule: ribosomal RNA, 253 nt
Filed under: uncultured bacterium
Lineage: Bacteria
Description: partial 16S ribosomal RNA
Rfam family: Bacterial small subunit ribosomal RNA
Source: RNAcentral